Long non-coding RNA from Sorghum bicolor (sorghum), 446 nucleotides. RefSeq lists it as uncharacterized. The transcript is spliced from 2 exons. Lineage: Eukaryota; Viridiplantae; Streptophyta; Magnoliopsida; Poales; Poaceae. The record is from RefSeq and is a predicted model, not a curated record.
CGCAGAACCUGCAAAGUCCCACAAAUGCCUGCGUCGCCUAGCUACUCCGUCUCCGCCGCCGUCGCCGCUUCUGUAUGCUAGGUCUUGCGACUGUUCAACACUGUGCGCAACAGCGCUCUCUAUCCGCGUCCAUGGCCGAGGUGGCUGCUGUCUAUCCGCGUCCAUGCCGGUGCCGGCCCCGAGGUCCAUACUGCCCCUCUCCAAAACGCGGAUGCCGACGGCCAAAUGCCACAACAGGUGUUGUAAAUCCUUGCAUACACAAGCACUAUUCGACAACAAGAAGGCCUGGAGCAUACUUAUUAUUUAUGCCAUAUUUUGUACUUGUUCCUUGUGAGUAAUUUAUGUAUUUGUGGCUUUUUGAUGUAAUAAUACAGCCAUUUUGUAUGUAUUCCUGCAAAGAUUAUAUUUUAGUAGUAAUUUGUUUUUGUAUGAUUUGAUGAUAUUUA